UAGAGUUUGAUCCUGGCUCAGGAUGAACGUUGGCGGCGUGCCUUAGGCAUGCAAGUCGAGCGAACCAAAGUGUUAGCCUUUGGUUAACACAGAGGUUAGCGGCGAACGGGUGAGUAACAAGUAGGUUACCUGCCUCGAAGUUCGGGAUAGCUCUGGGAAACUGGAGGUAAUACCGGAGAUGUCGAAAGACCAAAGCUUUCGUAAGAAAGCGCUUCGAGAGGGGCCUGCUCGCUAUCAGCUAGUUGGUGAGGUAAUGGCUCACCAAGGCUAAGACGGCUAGCUGGUCUGAGAGGAUGGCCAGCCACAUAGGGACUGAGACACGGCCCUAACACCUACGGGUGGCAGCAACUAGGAAUUUUGGACAAUGGGGGAAACCCUGAUCCAGCGACGCCGCGUGGAGGAUGAAGGCUGUAAGGUUGUAAACUCCUUUUGCGUGGGAACAAUGUGAGGGUACCAUGCGAAUAAGUCACUGCUAACUCCGUGCCAGCAGCAGCGGUUAUACGGGGGUGGCAAACGUUAUCCGGAUUUACUGGGCGUAAAGAGAUGCGUAGGCGUUUUACUAAGUCCUGUGUUAAAGCCCUUGGCUUAACCAAGGAAGUGCAUAGGAUACUAGUAAAAUCGAGGAAGCCAGAGGAAAGCAGAAUUCACCGAGUACUAGUGAAAUGGGUUGAUACGGUGAGGAAUGCCAGUGGCGAAGGCGGCUUUCUGGGGCUUUCCUGACGCUAAGGCUCGAAAGCGUGGGGAGCAAAACGGAUUAGAUACCCGUGUAGUCCACGCCGUAAACGAUCUCUACUAGGCGUUCGGUACUCGAUUUUCUGGUAAUUUAAUUACCAGAAUUCCCCGCGUACUGAAUGCGAUAGCUAACGCGUUAAGUAGAGCGCCUGUGGAGUACGGCCGCAAGGCUAAAACAUAAAGGAAUUGACGGGGACCUGCACAAGCGGUGGAGCGCCUGGUUUAAUUCGAAGCUAAGCGAAGAAUCUUACCAAGGCUUGACAUGUAUUGGAAUCUGCUGGAAACAGCGGAGUGCCCGCAAGGGAGGCAAUACACAGCUGCUGCAUGGCUGUCGUCAGCUCGUGUCGUGAGAUGUUUGGUUAAGUCCAUAAACGAGCGCAACCCUCACCCAAUGUUACAUUACUUUGGGAACUGCCACGCUACAACGUGGAGGAAGGUGGGGAUGACGUCUAGUCCGCAUUGCGCUUAUGCCUUGGGCUACACAGACGCUACAAUGGCCGGUACAAAGGGACGCCAAGUCGCGAGACGGAGCAAAUCCCAAAAAACCGGUCCCAGUUCGGAUUGAAGGCUGAAACUCGCCUUCAUGAAGCCGGAAUCGCUAGUAAACGCGUUUCAGAAGUGCGCGUUGAAUACGUAAACAGGUCUUGUACACACCGCCCGUCAAGUUAUGGGAGUCGGGAAUACCCGAAUGGUCAUCGGUUUUGAUCAGAAGGUAGGCCUGACAACUGUAAUUAAGUCGUAACAAGGUAACCA
RNAcentral lists this ribosomal RNA (1485 nucleotides) under uncultured bacterium. Its description in RNAcentral is "bacterial SSU rRNA". It matches the Rfam family "Bacterial small subunit ribosomal RNA". The record is from RNAcentral.